This is a long non-coding RNA of Thunnus maccoyii (southern bluefin tuna), 2249 nucleotides long. RefSeq lists it as uncharacterized. The transcript has 6 exons. NCBI's taxonomy places the organism in Eukaryota, Metazoa, Chordata, Actinopteri, Scombriformes, Scombridae. The record is from RefSeq and is a predicted model, not a curated record.
UUGCCCCCCAAUGCGUACAUGUGCUCCUAAAUGACAAAUUAGGAGCAAACAAUGAAAUCAUGGAGCACUGUGAAAAAUAUAAAUAUAUAUUCACAGGAUGUAUUAACUCGGUGAUGAGCAGACUUCUCCUCAGUUUAUCUUUCACAUUAACUCAUUACUCUGACUUACUGUCUUUAGCACAUCACCAUCACUAAAUAUCUUAGUUAUCAAUCAAUGUGUUGUCUUACUGCCACAGAAAAUGAAUAAACUGUUGGGUUAUUAGCACGAUGUCGCCUCCCUGUUGUCUCUUGUCAGACCACCAGUUCCGUGAGAGGCACAAACUGAAGCUAGAGUGUGCUAAUAUUUAACGUUACGUGGCGGCGUUUCUUUUCAGGGAAACUAAUGUACUGCUAAUAAACAUUGUACAUCAUCUAGGUUUUGAACCAUUACCAGCGGGGCAAAAUAAAUAUACAUUACACUCUUACCUGUCCAGCUUUAAACAGGAAACUUCGGCGUCAGUCUGCAAACAUUUCUCUCAUCAGGGAUUUCCAUCUGGGUUUAUCCUUGUUUUAUGCCGUUGCUUGUCCCGAUUUCGUUUAGCUUCUUCGUGUUUUCGUUUCUUUGACGAGACAUGUCACGCUCUUGUGAUUUUCUAAAUAAGGAUGAUCCUCCAUUUAUCAGAUUUUGGUUUCAAAAACUUCUCACAAUACAAAACGUUUGGUCCGUUCUUCUUCUUCGUUUUAAAACCGGUGCAUUUCCAGUAGUCGCCCACUGAAUCUAAAACACGUAAGGCCCUCACUGGAACCAGUGUUAGGUUUGUCUAUUCUAUGCUACUGUAGAAACAUGGCAAUGCAACAUGGGAGCCACUGUGGAGUGGGACUCGCUCCCAUGAAGAUAUAAAGGGCUUAUUUCUAAGUUUGUCUCUCUCUGUGUUUGUGUGUAUGCUGGGCAUGGCAUCCUGGUUUCCCUCUCCCACUUUCAACCAGUGCACCUGCAGCUGAUCAUCUAAUCAACUUAACAAGCCACUGCAGCAUAAAACCUGGGCUCAUCCGUCAAGACUCAUUCAGUCAGAUCAUUCAGUCUACUACACGGUAUCAACGUCAGGCCAAGUUGUAGUUUAUUGAGCUUCGUACUAGUUUUCAUUUUCUUAUUCUGAGUCUCUCUGUGCACCAGGUUACCAAUCCAGUCUGCCACCAUUGCCUCCCACAAACAGCUUCAUCCUUGUCAUCUACCUCUGGUUUUGGAUCCUCCACUUAUCGCCUGCCCAGCUUUGCUGAGAACCUCAUUCUCCAACCUGCAGACUACACAGAACCCUUCAUCUGCCCUGCUCCUCCUGCAAUAAAUCCUUUUCUAAACCACUCCUGUCUGAGUCUGUGUCCUGCAUUUCAGGUCCUAGACUGAGUAACUAUAACACUUGUACUUCUCCACGCUUGCCCCGCUUCCAUGUCCUGUUGCACCGCUUUCAAUGUUUCCUCUCUGGCGCAGCUCCAGGCAAGGCCAUAGUCUCCACUGGGUCCACUGGGUGUAACAGACAAGCGUGCUCAGCUGAUUUAGCUCUCCCAGCCAAUAUUUCUCGUAGCAAAAGUGCUUGUUACAAAUGUCCAAAAGAAAUUGACAAGCAUAGACAUAUUUCCCUUGCACUCCACACGAUGAUAUAGAUGUAGCCAUAGACAUGGACAAAGACACUGCAAAGUCAGAACUAGGAGAGGCCACUGCAAACGUCAGUCACGCCACCAUCACACCAGUUCAUGGAGAGAGAGAGAGAGAGAGAGAAUAUCACCAACAAGGACCCCUUAAUUUCUCUUCUUGUCUUCACAAAACAACUCUUCUGUUAUCUUCAUGAUGGGUCAUUAACCUAUCGGAUUUAGCUACACUGAGCACAGCUGUUUAACUCAGGAAUCAGCUGGUAGACACAACGGAUAACGACUCUUAAGCACUCUUCUACGUGUGAGGAGUUCUCAGACACACCACUGCCUGAAUAGAGAGAUCAAGCCCUGGAAACUGGCCCUAGUAGCCCUUGACAUCUUCAAAUUACUCAUUGUCACAGUUUGCACAUUGGCACAGGUCCCAUAGAUCACUUAUUCCGUCCCAGCACCUCUGGGGAAAAGUAGCGGCUAGGUGUGCACAUGCCUCUCUCUUGUGACAGAAUCAGAUUCACAGAUCAAUAUUCACAGUUGAAGUUCAAGAUCCACAUUCACACUAAUAUUCUUUGCAUGAUACCAACCGUCUUCUGCAAUAUCUUUUUGAAUUAAAAGUGCCUUUUCACUUCU